RNAcentral lists this ribosomal RNA (253 nucleotides) under uncultured bacterium. RNAcentral describes it as "partial 16S ribosomal RNA". It matches the Rfam family "Bacterial small subunit ribosomal RNA", at positions 524 to 776 of the family's 1533-position model. The record is from RNAcentral.
UACGUAGGUGACGAGCGUUGUCCGGAUUUACUGGGCGUAAAGAGCGCGCAGGCGGUCGUUCAAGUCGAGUGUGAAAGCCCCCGGCUCAACUGGGGAGGGUCACUCGAUACUGAUCGACUCGAAGGCAGGAGAGGGUAGUGGAAUUCCCGGUGUAGUGGUGAAAUGCGUAGAUAUCGGGAGGAACACCGAUGGCGAAGGCAAUCCCCUGGGCCUGCACUGACGCUCAUGCACGAAAGCGUGGGGAGCAAACAGG